CCCUUAGAUGUUCUGGGCUGCACGCGCGCUACACUGACACACGCAACGAGUCUCCUGCCCUGACAGGGUCGGGUAAUCAUUUGAGUGUGUGUCGUGAUGGGGAUAGAGUAUUGCAAUUAUUGCUCUUGAACGAGGAAUUCCUAGUAAGCACAAGUCAGCAGCUUGUGCUGAUUACGUCCCUGCCCUUUGUACACACCGCCCGUCGCUCCUACCGAGGGGGUGAUCCGGUGAAUGAUUCGGACUCUGGUGCUUCUAGCUGCUAGAUGCGCCGGAGGAAGUUUUGUGAACCUUAUCACUUGGAGGGAGGAGAAGUCGUAACA
This 320-nucleotide ribosomal RNA is filed under the name uncultured eukaryote. Its description in RNAcentral is "partial 18S ribosomal RNA". It matches the Rfam family "Eukaryotic small subunit ribosomal RNA", at positions 1470 to 1796 of the family's 1831-position model. The record is from RNAcentral.